CCAGGUUAGAGAACUAAACGAAAAGUAGUGCAGGCCCUGUGUUUUCUGUGUGCUUUCCAGAAGAAACCAAAUUGUCUGUGAGGACAUCUAGUUUCAUUCCAUCAUGCUUUUAAAGCCUAGCCAGAAUGGGCAAGGUUGGAAGGGACCACAGUGGUCAUCUGGUCCAACCUCCAGAGCACGUUGUGCAGGACUGCAUCCAGGUGGUUCUUGAGUAACUCCACAACCAGUUCCUGACUAUGAUACAGAAUCUAUGAGAGGUGCAUACAUGAGAAGGUAGAGGAAGACACAACCUGGGAGUGUUUAAGGUGACAGGACAUAACCAAGUCCAUCAGACCAGAAGGGACGCAUCUGAUGUUGCAAAGGGAGCUGAUGCCACAGUGAAACUGCUCACUUUAUGGUUUUUGAAAGGCUGUGGUGAUCAGAAAUUUCACCACACUUGAUGAAAACAAAUGCCAUCCAUUUCUUCAGAGAAGGGCAUAAUGAAGAAGAAUGACAGGCACUGUAAUUCUUUCCAAGUCAUGAGAAAAAAGGUAUCGUAAUGCCAGAAACAUCUACAGAUAAAACAACUUGUGACAGAACUUA
Molecule: long non-coding RNA, 582 nt
Organism: Passer domesticus (house sparrow)
Lineage: Eukaryota; Metazoa; Chordata; Aves; Passeriformes; Passeridae
Exons: 4
Source: RefSeq, a predicted model, not a curated record